UUCUUUUAUCACUAAAUAAAACAGAAAGACAAACUGUUUUGGAAAGAGUCACAGAGGGACAUGGAAGAAGGUACAGUGUUUUCCUGAGUUUAUGUUGUCCAUUUUGAUAUUACAGACAACAGUAAUUUUAAUUUUCAACUUCUUUUCUGGGGGUGGUGAUUUUAUCUGUGUUCAUUAAUGGCACUUCAAUAUUGACCUAAGCAUUUCUGAAACAGAAAACUACCAGAGGACCCACAAUGUACAAAGGUAAUGCUUCAAUGCAAAACAGUUACACUGAAUAUGUGAAUAAAAGUGCCCUUGUUACAUUAAUUAUUAUACUGAUAUUUUUGAACAGGAGUGAUAACAAGGGUCUACGAAAACCUACUGUGCAAUACAUCUGCUUGUCUUUUAUACAGGGUAUAGACAGAAGGCAGCUCCAGAGAGAUACAAGUAUUUUCUCCUGUGCAGGUGGAGAAGAAAGGAAGAGAUAUAGAAAACCCAGGGAUUCUCAGAGUCCUGCAGCAACCAAACACCUUGGAGAUCCAUCCAGCAGGUCUUGCAAUGCUCCAUGUGAACUAUGACUAAAAAACUACCUAUGUCCUCAAUCUAUUAUGUGCUAAUCAAACUAUUCCUGCAGUAUAACCACAUUAAAAGCACUACAGAUCACUGCCACCUGAAAUAAACAGCUGGGGAGGAAAUGCCUCACUAACUUGUUUGUCCAAGGAGGCAAAUCCAUGGUGCAUGGGAGAUACAGGGUUUGGGGUUGUUUUUCUAAUAGGUGUGUAACACUUUUACUCAGUGAUUUAUAUACAAAGGCUGUCUAGACAAUAAGUGAAUCAUUGUUAUUAAGCAGCUGCUUGGUGGUCUAUAAAAAGUAAAUUAGGUGACCUUCCAGAAGAGGCACCUAAAUAAAAACUCCGGGAGAUUUUCAAGGGAAAGGUCAGAACUUGGCUGUGCCUGUCAACUGUGCUGCACUUUUGCUUCCAGAGCUGGCUGCUCAUUUCUGCAGAGGCACAAACACAAAAGGCUUGUGGGAAAUCAAAUAGACAGGGCUUGUGGGAAGUUUGCACCACCACAGCUCCCUCUGUCCUGUAGGACAGAGACAUGAGCUGUCUCCACAGAUAUUGCAGGUGAUGAAAUGCUUGUUCCUGUGUGUAGACACCCUGUCACAAAGGCACUGCUGACGCUCUACAAGAAACUAUUACUUUGGGGAUACUACGGAAAGUAGAGGGACAUACAGAAAAGAUUGGUUUAAAAUAUAUUCUUGGAAGUUUCAAGUUUUAGUAUUCCAUAGUUUAAAGACCUGUAAGCAUAACUUGGCACAACAUUUGUUUUUAAACUUGGCUUGGAAACUGAAACAAGCUGGAGAGCAGAAACAGGAGCAGCACACCAUUGGUGAGAGCUCCCAGCAUCCAGGAAUGGAUGGACAUCAAUGGAAACAGAAGGGCAGGGAGGCUGGGAUGGCUUAGGCAGGUAUAGUGACAAUGCAGGAGGUCACCCACAGGCUUCCAGAGGGUUCAGACUAUUUAUUCUGAGCCAAGGUGAACAGCAUUCCAACAGGCCCCUGAUGCUGCCACACUGAUAACACCUACCAUCUCAACAAAACUCUGACAGCCACAUCUGCUGACUGCUAACAUGGCCUGUAUGAUUCAGGGCAACAGAGAUCAUCUCUGUGUGAUUAUUUCUUGUUUGUUGACUCAAUACUUCCAUUUAAAAGCACUGACAGCAAGGGCAUGGCCUGGCUCCUGCCGCUCCUGCUGCCCCAGGAGGCCUUGGGUGCUGAAGGAGGUCGCUGGCAGAGGCUGUGCAUGUUCCCAGCUGUGCCCUGGGGUGCUGCUGAAGAGGAAUGAACACAAGGACCAGCUCGUCACCUACAUCCCAACUGCCCAGAGCAGUCCCAUCUGGGGGACUUCAGAUCUCUAGAGAAGAAAGGAACCAGGGAUGGGCAAAGGACUGCCACUACCUUUGAGCAAGCAAGCUGUACCUACUGUUUCCCUGUUUCCUGAAAUCUUCCUUAUGCCCCACACCCACCCAAUCCAUGAACUGGCAAAUCUAAGCCUGUUUGGCCAAGCAGGCAGCCAACCUGCACAGCCCUCUGGGAGAAAACAGCUACAGUGUUAAGGACUUGCUGACAAGGCAUUAUUCCUUCCCCGCCUUUUAUUAUCGGGGUUGGGUAUUUUUAAUCCCAGAAACCUACUGGUUUGCAUGUUGAAGCCAGGCUCUUCUGCAUUGUGGGCAGGGUAAUCUGUACCAGUGCUUCUUGGAAUAUCUUCUUCCUGAUGGUGCUGCUGUCAUAGUCAUAUUGCUGUCAGAACACAGAACAGAAACAAGCCCGGACGUGCUUGGGGUUAUUAAUCACUCACACAAGGAACUGGUUCUUGUUAUCCUGUCACUGGUGCAUCAGAGGUGCACUCAGGGCUUUGAACUGCCAUGCAGGUUAUUCCAGCUUUUGCAAAACCACUCUAAAAAUCUAGAUUUCUGGCAUCUCUUUCCAUUCUUGUUUUUUUAUACUUAGGCUAGAAACAGCCCCUGAUUGCCCUCCCCAGGUAUUUCAGCACUGCCUCUUCUGAGAGGAACGAACUCUAGGGGCUGGCUAAUUAUACAGUUAAUUAAAACUUCUAUAUCCAGA
Long non-coding RNA from Pseudopipra pipra, 2608 nucleotides. RefSeq lists it as uncharacterized. Lineage: Eukaryota; Metazoa; Chordata; Aves; Passeriformes; Pipridae. The record is from RefSeq and is a predicted model, not a curated record. The transcript has 2 exons.